GACGAACGCUGGCGGCGUGCCUAAUACAUGCAAGUAGAACGCUGAAGGAGGAGCUCGCUCUUCUGGAUGAGUUGCGAACGGGUGAGUAACGCGUAGGUAACCUGCCUGGUAGCGGGGGAUAACUAUUGGAAACGAUAGCUAAUACCGCAUAAGAGUAGAUGUUGCAUGACAUUUACUUAAAAGGUGCAAUUGCAUCACUACCAGAUGGACCUGCGUUGUAUUAGCUAGUUGGUGGGGUAACGGCUUACCAAGGCGACGAUACAUAGCCGACCUGAGAGGGUGAUCGGCCACACUGGGACUGAGACACGGCCCAGACUCCUACGGGAGGCAGCAGUAGGGAAUCUUCGGCAAUGGACGGAAGUCUGACCGAGCAACGCCGCGUGAGUGAAGAAGGUUUUCGGAUCGUAAAGCUCUGUUGUAAGAGAAGAACGAGUGUGAGAGUGGAAAGUUCACACUGUGACGGUAUCUUACCAGAAAGGGACGGCUAACUACGUG
Molecule: ribosomal RNA, 495 nt
Filed under: uncultured bacterium
Lineage: Bacteria
Description: partial 16S ribosomal RNA
Rfam family: Bacterial small subunit ribosomal RNA
Source: RNAcentral